Molecule: transfer RNA, 77 nt
Filed under: Anderseniella sp.
Lineage: Bacteria; Pseudomonadati; Pseudomonadota; Alphaproteobacteria; Hyphomicrobiales; Parvibaculaceae
Description: tRNA-Arg
Rfam family: tRNA
About the family: Transfer RNA (tRNA) molecules are approximately 80 nucleotides in length.
Source: RNAcentral
GCACCCGUAGCUCAGCUGGAUAGAGCACCAGACUACGAAUCUGGGGGUCGGGAGUUCGAAUCUUCCCCGGUGCGCCA